AGUGGCGGACGGGUGAGUAACGCGUGGGUAACCUGCCUCAUACAGGGGGAUAACAGUUAGAAAUGACUGCUAAUACCGCAUAAGGCCACAGCACCGCAUGGUGCAGGGGUAAAAACUCCGGUGGUAUGAGAUGGACCCGCGUCUGAUUAGGUAGUUGGUGGGGUAACGGCCUACCAAGCCGACGAUCAGUAGCCGACCUGAGAGGGUGACCGGCCACAUUGGGACUGAGACACGGCCCAA
This 240-nucleotide ribosomal RNA is filed under the name uncultured bacterium. RNAcentral describes it as "partial 16S ribosomal RNA". It matches the Rfam family "Bacterial small subunit ribosomal RNA", at positions 94 to 334 of the family's 1533-position model. The record is from RNAcentral.